UCACAACAAUAAAAGAUAACAGGAUUGUAACUAACAACCAAGCAUUUCUGAACACACUCAUUUGAUUACUUUCACCAGGUAUGCAUAUCUCUACAUUUUCAAUAUCUUAUCAUUAAUUAAAAAUAAGUAGUAUCUUCUAAGAGUUUCAAAUAUUAAGAGAAACUACUAUCAUAUUUUUGGCAUUGCUAGGGUGAUCUGAUAAGGAAUACAGUAUUCUAUAAAAAAAUACAAAAACUAAAGGUGUAUAAGUGGGCAACGCCGUUUAAAAGAACAAAAUAAUUGUGGCAUCUGUGCUAGCAUGAGAAGCCUAAAAUAGAAAAUAAUGUAGUGAAACCAGGUUUCCCUCCUGCUUAUUUAUACAUGUGAAAAGGUACUUAUGUUUACAUUUUCAGUUUCCAAGAUCUCUUUCCAGAACUGCUGAAAACACUAUUGCUGUAAAAUGUGGAUAAUCACCUCACAAGUCCCCAAAUUUCCCAAGUACUUAAAGCACAUCUCCCAGGUUGCUGAGAUGUCUUAGUACUCAUUUCAAGACAACUUUCUCAAACUUGGCUCUCAAAGUCAGAAGAAUCAUAGUUAACAUCCAUACCGCACUGACUGCGCUUAAUAGUUUAGGACUUACCUUGGGACUAAAAUGGACCACACAGGAAAGAGAAUGAGGUGUAUCCUGCUUUAUACAAUAAAAUUCCAGAAAAGCUACACUUCCAUUUUGAAUACUAGGUGAAGAGCAGCCUCCAAAGGAACAGGUGUUUUUAACUUUGGCCCAUGUUGGCCUUCAGAGAUGACUGGCUUUUGGGGAAACAGCUGCCAUGUUGUGAGGACACUCAAAUACCCAAGUGGAGAGGCCAACGAGGCAAGGAACUGAGGCGUACUACCAACAACCAUAUGCAUGAACCAUUUUGCAAGCAGAUCUCAAGCCUUCAGAGACUGCAGCCAUAGGUGACAUCUUGAUUGCAACCUCUUGAGAGCCUCUGAGCCAGAACUACCUAGUGAAGCACUCCCAAAUUCCUGACCCAGAAAAAUUGGGACCUAAUAAAUGUUUGAGUUUCCAA
Molecule: long non-coding RNA, 1049 nt
Organism: Pteropus alecto (black flying fox)
Lineage: Eukaryota; Metazoa; Chordata; Mammalia; Chiroptera; Pteropodidae
Exons: 3
Source: RefSeq, a predicted model, not a curated record